GGAUUAGAUACCCUGGUAGUCCACACCGUAAACGAUGAAUGCUAGUUGCACGGCUCAUUUGCAUGCUGUGUGACGCAGUUAACGCAUUAAGCAUUCCGCCUGGGGAGUACGGUCGCAAGAUUAAAACUCAAAGGAAUUGACGGGGGCCCGCACAAGCGGUGGAGUAUGUGGUUUAAUUCGACGCAACGCGCAGAACCUUACCCAGUCUUGACAUCCCUGGAACCCCAUAGAGAUAUGGUUUCCACCCUAACCGGUGGUCAGGUGACAGGUGCUGCAUGGCUGUCGUCAGCUCGUGCCG
This 298-nucleotide ribosomal RNA is filed under the name uncultured bacterium. Its description in RNAcentral is "partial 16S ribosomal RNA". It matches the Rfam family "Bacterial small subunit ribosomal RNA", at positions 775 to 1067 of the family's 1533-position model. The record is from RNAcentral.